Molecule: ribosomal RNA, 253 nt
Filed under: uncultured bacterium
Lineage: Bacteria
Description: partial 16S ribosomal RNA
Rfam family: Bacterial small subunit ribosomal RNA
Source: RNAcentral
UACGAAGGGGGCUAGCGUUGUUCGGAAUUACUGGGCGUAAAGCGUAUGCAGGCGGAUUGUUAAGUCAGGGGUGAAAUCCUGAGGCUCAACCUCAGAACUGCCUUUGAUACUGGCAAUCUUGAGUCCGGGAGAGGUAAGUGGAACUGCGAGUGUAGAGGUGAAAUUCGUAGAUAUUCGCAAGAACACCAGUGGCGAAGGCGGCUUACUGGUCCGGAACUGACGCUGAGGUGCGAAAGCGUGGGGAGCAAACAGG